Molecule: ribosomal RNA, 254 nt
Filed under: uncultured bacterium
Lineage: Bacteria
Description: partial 16S ribosomal RNA
Rfam family: Bacterial small subunit ribosomal RNA
Source: RNAcentral
UACGGGGGGAGCAAGCGUUGUUCGGAUUUACUGGGCGGAAAGGGCGCGUAGGCGGCCAGCACAAGUCAGUUGUGAAAUCUCCGAGCUUAACUCGGAAAGGUCAACUGAUACUGUGCGGCUAGAGUGCGGAAGGGGCAACUGGAAUUCUUGGUGUAGCGGUGAAAUGCGUAGAUAUCAAGAGGAACACCUGCGGCGAAGGCGGGUUGCUGGGCCGACACUGACGCUGAGGAGCGAAAGCGUGGGGAGCAAACAGG